This 540-nucleotide ribosomal RNA is filed under the name Pichia manshurica. RNAcentral describes it as "eukaryotic LSU rRNA". It matches the Rfam family "Eukaryotic large subunit ribosomal RNA", at positions 62 to 628 of the family's 3401-position model. The record is from RNAcentral. Lineage: Eukaryota; Fungi; Ascomycota; Pichiomycetes; Pichiales; Pichiaceae.
AAACCAACAGGGAUUGCCCCAGUAGCGGCGAGUGAAGCGGCAAGAGCUCAGAUUUGAAAUCGUGUUUCGGCACGAGUUGUAGAGUGUAGGCGGGAGUCUCUGUGGAGCGCGGUGUCCAAGUCCCUUGGAACAGGGUGCCUGAGAGGGUGAGAGCCCCGUAGGGUGCUGCGCGAAGCUUUUGAGGCCCUGCUGACGAGUCGAGUUGUUUGGGAAUGCAGCUCCAAGCGGGUGGUAAAUUCCAUCUAAGGCUAAAUAUUGGCGAGAGACCGAUAGCGAACAAGUACUGUGAAGGAAAGAUGAAAAGCACUUUGAAAAGAGAGUGAAACAGCACGUGAAAUUGUUGAAAGGGAAGGGUAUUGGGCUCGACAUGGGGGGUGCGCACCGCUGUCUCUUGUAGGCGGCGCUCUGGGCGCCCUCUGGGCCAGCAUCGGUUCCUGCUGCGGGAGAAGGGGCUCCGGAAAGUGGCUCUUCGGAGUGUUAUAGCCGGGGCCAGAUGCCGCGUGUGGGGACCGAGGACUGCGGCUUCUGUCUCGGAUGCUG